This 5649-nucleotide long non-coding RNA is filed under the name Capsicum annuum. RNAcentral's name for it is "long non-coding RNA (CANN_LNC010663)". The record is from RNAcentral. Lineage: Eukaryota; Viridiplantae; Streptophyta; Magnoliopsida; Solanales; Solanaceae.
UUUAAAGUUAUUUGAUGAUCUUGCUCUUUGUUAGCUGCACAUCUUGCUUUUCCUGUCAUAUCGGGAGUUCCUCCAUAUGUUUUGCUCAAUGUAAAAUGGAUAGCGGGUUCCUUUUUGGUGAUUUAGGAAGAUGCCAUGAUGAAUAACUCCCACCAACUGAUUCUUCAUCCCCAUCCGAACCUUCCUGCAUUGGACUUUGUGAUCCAAUCCCUCUAGGUGAUUGCAUUUCUAACGAGCUUCUCAAUCGUCUGUUGCUUCACAGCAAAUUAAGAACCAAGAGUAACAGCUCGAUAACAAACUUUGAAACAAACUUCUCUUCUUUGUUAAGUUCAUCAAUCCUAUGCGCUUAAUGAACUUAAAGGUGCCACCUGCAGAAAAGAAGCCACGGUUAGAAGAUAUAUUAUCACAACAAGCACGAGCGAUAGUACUCAAAUUUCUUGCUUGAAUGCAACAGUGCAUCUUUCCGGUACACAUUAAGACGAGUACAUUUUUUCCUGAGCUAGUUUGUCUCAAGUUUGAGAUUGCAUAUCCUGAAUUGAUGUGAUAAUAGGCACGGGAGGAUUUUUAAUAACAUUUACUGCUGCAAUACAGCAGCACCUAUUCGAACAAGCUGAUUAUUAGAUACAGAAGCAUCUCAACUCCAAAUGCUUGUCGAUGGAUGAUUCUUGGUGCACGUGAGUUCCACCGCUUGCAUUGGAAUUUCUCUAUAACUUCCUUCUUUUCCAAUAGCAGACAGUAGGAAACUCCAUGAUGUUUCAAUGAGAAACUUACAGUGGAAGUCCCCUGUGUUCGGUGGCAGAAAAGUCACAGUGCAAGGCAUAGCAGCGGCAUGCCUACUAGGAGGUGAAGUGAGCAUGGAGGAGCCGAGGGCAGCAAUGAAGGGUUCUUGAAGGUAAUCAAGAUGGAAGUAAACCAUGAAACUUGAGAACUAAAAGAAGGAAAACAGAGAGGAAGAAUCAUAGCAGUGAUAUUGAAUGAGUAAUUAAUCCUACAAUGCUUGAUAUGGUUCUUUAUAUAGAGUAUGUGUUGAGUUAGUUAUAACUAACUCAACUACUUGUGACUCACUUUAAGUCUCUAACUGCUAACUAACUACACUUGUUAGUUGAGUAUCUUAACACCCCUUCAAUCUAGGAGGUAUAAAGAUGUUUAGAGCUCCAAGCUUGGACAAUAGAUACUCAUGAUGAUAUCUAGACAAGCCUUUAGUUAACACAUCUGCAAGCUGCGCCUGUGUAGGUAUAUAAUUCACAUUAAUCAGCCCUUGUUGCAGCCUUUCUCUGAUGAAGUGACAGUCAAUCUCAAUAUGUUUUGUUCUUUCGUGGUAAACUGGAUUAGCAACAAUUUGGAUGGCUGAUUUACUGUCACUAUAUAUCUGUAUUUGCAAUUGCACCUUGCUAUCUACUUCCUUUUAAGGCACUAAUCAGCCCAAUCAGUUCAGAGACUGUACUAGCUAGGCUUCUAUAUUCAACCUGAGCUGAGCUCCUUGAGACUGUAGUCUGUUUCUUAGGCUUCCAUGAGAUUAGUGAAUCUCCUAGUUUGAUCAUAUAACCUGUAACUGAUUUCCUUGUAAGAGGACAUGCUUCCCAGUCAGCAUCACAAUAGGCAGUGAUCUUCUCAUUUGAGUUACUGGCUAACAACAAUCCUUGACCUCGUUGCUUCUUUAGGUACCUGAUUACCCUUAAUGCAACAUCCAAGUGAAACUUUUUUGGUUGCUGAAGAAACUUAGAGUUUGAGUGCUAUAUGAGAUGUCUGGUCUUGUCAUAUAGAUACAAGAGCUUUCCAACCAAUUUCUGGUACAUUGUCUGAUCUACCAAAGGAGAUCAUCAAGAACAUUUUUUCUUCAAGUGAUCAUCAUAUUGUACAGAAGUUAACUUGGCAUUAGUAUUAAUAUGAGUGUUUGCUGGCUUUGCUGCAGAUUAACUAACCUUAGAUAUCAAUUCCAGUGUGUAUUUCCUCUGAUGCAUAAGGAUCCCAGCUUUAGACCUGGUAAACUCGAUCCCCAAAAAAUAUUUCAACUCCCCUAAAUCCUUCAUUUUGAAAGCUUGCUGCAGUUCCUCUUUUUUGUCUUGAAUCAGUUUCAAAAUGCUCCCAGUGAUGAGCAUGUCAUCUACAUAUACCAUUAUAAUAGUCAUUCCUUCACUAGACUUCUUGAUAAACAAAGAGUAAUCAUGUUGGCUUUGUUCAAACUUCAGAUCAAUAAGAGCUUCUGUCAGUUUGUGAUUCCAUUGUCUUGGAGCUUGUUUCAAUCCAUACAAGGAUUUGACAAGUCUGCACACCUUCUCCCCCGGACUUGAAAAUCCUUGAGGCAGAGUCAUGUAGAUCUCAUCCUUCAAAUCACCAUGUAAGAAUUCAUUAAAGACAUCCAUUUGAUGAACAUGCCAAUUCUUUGAGGCAGCAAUAGCUAGGAUUGUUCUAACAGUCACCAUUUUUACAACUGGAGAGAAAGUUUCCUUGUAAUCUAUACCUUCUUUUUGACUAUAGCCCCUUGCAGCCAAUCUUUCUUUGAACCUCUCAACUUCACCUGUGGCUUUAUACUUUAUCUUGUAUAUACACCUAAAACCAAUUAGCUUCUUACCAGUAGGAAGGUCUGUAAUCUCCCAAGUUUUAUUUUCUUCAAGGGCAUGGAUUUCUGCUUGCAUGGAAUCUACCCAUCUUUUAUCUUUCAUAGCGUCUAAGUAGUAAGUUACACCAAGGUUGAUGUUGCCAUUAUAUAAGCUUGAUAGGUUGGUGACAAAUGAGUAUAAUUGAUGUAGUUACACAUAGGAUACUGAAAAUUAUCACUAAUGUUCAGUAAAACAAAAUCUUUCAUCCACUUAGGUGAAUGUCUCUCCAUAGAAGACCUUCUCUGCAUCAUAAUCCCAUUGUCAGGAGCUACUUCAGGAACCACAACUUAUUCAUAUGCAUCAUGCUCAACCAGAUCAUUUAGCUCAGUUGCAUCUGGUUCAGGGACUUCAACAUGAUCAGUAACUGCAGUUGGAGGAGGCUGUAUUUCUGCAAUCUGUUCAGUAACAUGUGUAGUAGGACCAACACUUGUAUUAUUCAUUGGAUAGCUAGACACAAUGUUCUGCAUCAAACCACCACAGUUGAAGAAAGGGUCAACAAAUACAUCAUUGUUAACCGUGGCACCUAUUUCAGCAAAGGGAAAUCUUCUCUAAACAAUACAUUUCUACUGAUAAAGAAUGACCUAGUGAUAAGAUCAUAUAGCACGUAGCCUUUUUGAGUGUCUGAGUACCCCAUAUGUACAACCUUUCUUGAUCUAUGCAUUAAUUUGUCAUGUUCAUUCAGAACCUUUGCAAAGCACAAACAACCAAGUACUCUUAGACGAGUAAACAUAGUUUUUACACCAUAUAACCUUUCAUAAGGAGUCUAAUUUGAUACUGCACUACUAGGCAUUCUGUUGAUCAGGUAAACAAUAGCUAAAACAUAGUGUCCCCAAAACUUCAAUGGUAUUUUAGCCUAAAAUCUCAAUUCUCUAGUUACUUCCAAAAUAUGUCUAUGUUUCCUCUCAGCUACUCCAUUUUGCUGAGGGGUAUAUGGACAAGAUCUUUGGUGAAUAAUUUCAUUGCCUAUUCUCAUUACCUUGAUAGUUUUGUCAAACUGUGUGUUAAGAUAUUGAAGGAAUAACUUGAUAGACACACACACCUCUGAUUUAAGCUUUAGUAAAAACACCCAAGUAUUCACUGUAAGAAAAUAUUUGUUCCAUCAAAAGUAGUUGUAUUAUAUGGACCCCAAGGUCAAGAUGAAUCAACUCAAAACUUGAUAGUCUUAACAGAACUGGAAGGAAAAAACUAAUCUUGUUUGCUUUUCAAAAGGACAAAUAGAGCAUUUAGACACUUUAUAUACAUCUUCCUUGAUCAUAUGAAACAAUUUAUUAAGAACUACUGACGAAGAGUAUCCUAAUCUUCUAUGCCAAAGCUCUAUAUCCCCUUUCUUGGAUAGUGAUUCCUUAGCUUUUACUACUAAAGAAACUUGGGAGUUAUCUGUUUUUGAAAGAUGCUUUAGCAAUAAGUAGAGACCUCCUUCCUCUUUACCAAUUUCCUUUACCUUCCCAAUGGCUCCUGGAAUACACAAAAGUGGGGAAAGAAUGUGAUUGAGCAACCAAAGUCCUUGGUUAUCUUGCUCACAGAUAGUAGAUUGUACGUGAAUUCUGGAAUAUGAAACACAUUUGUGAUAAUACUUCUAGUAGAUAGAGCACAAGAUCCCAUGUGUGUCACCUGUGAUGCCUCUCCAUUAGGUAGAGACACUUUUUUUGUCUCUGCACACUUAGACAUAGAAUCAGGUAAGAACAUAUUUGACCUAGACCCCAUAUGAUUGGUGGCUCUAGUAUCAAUUAUCCACACUUCACUAUUCUCAUAAAUAAACAACACUUUACUUGCACAGUUGACUGCAUCAAAUUCAUCAACAUUUCCUUUAGAAUGACCACUUUGAAGCAUCAGGAGAAUUUGAUCAUACUGAUCUUUGGUAAAGGUGCAUCCCUGCAGCAUUUCUUUCACAGUUCUUUUAGAAUCUGUAAUGGUGUUGGGCUUUAAAAACUGAGAAUCUUCUUUACCAUGAGAACCACCGGAAUUGUGAUUGAUCUAGCUUCCACUUUGGCUAGUAACAUUCAACCCAUACAUGAGUUUGCCUGAGCUUUUUGUACUUGUUGCUCCAGACCAUAAACAUGAUUAGUAUUGACCAUGUGUGCACCAUUAUAGUUUCCAGACCCAGUCUUCUUCUUGGAUUUGAAAUCAGAAGGAAAUCCCACCAGUUUAUGGCAAUAUUCUUUGCUAUGUCCCUUGCACUUACAGUAGUCACACACCAAACCUGCAUUUCCUUUAAACUUCUGAAUCCCAGCAGAACCACCACCAAUUUGUCCAAAAUUAUUACCAGCCUUAGAGUACAUAGCAAUAGACUCCAGAUUGUUAGAUGAUAUAACAUUUAUUCCAAGAUUUCCAGUAGAAAUAACAAUUGAUUUUUGUGCUUCAUCACCCAUUAUCAUAGCAUAGGCCUAAUUGAUAUUAUUAAGGGAUUCAUUAGUAGAAUUUGACUUCUAGACUGAUGGCAUACUUCACUUAAUCCCAUAAGAAACUGAUAGAGCUUUUGCCUAUUAAUGUGAGCAGCAAAUCCUCUGGACUUUUCACAAUCACACGUAGGUGGAGGGACAAGAGCCUCAAAUUCAUCCCACAGAUUCCUCAAUCUAGUAUAAUAUACAGAGACAAAUGCCGUUCCUUGUUGCAAAGUGGUGAUUUAUUUAUGUAAACUACAAGUUCUUGAGCCAUCUAAACGAUCAAAUCUCUCUUUCAAGUCAUCCCACACAGUACACGCGUUAGAGGCAAAUAAAAUUCCACUCAACAAACUCUUAGAAACUGAGUUCAUUAGCCAAGAGAGGACAAUUGCAUUGACCCUCUCCCAUUGACUCCAUAACUCUUCUAUGAAUACAUCUUUUCUACAUGUUCCAUCAAUCAAUCCCAUCUUAUUUCGACCAAGUAAUGCAAGUUUAAUUGAAUGACUCCACAACGCAUAGUUUUCAAUACCAACUAAUUGAAAAGAUAUUAUGCUAAGGCCACUAACAUCUAUAGGGCUCAAGAAAAGAGGAUGAUUAUAGUCAAUACCUUGACCUGAUAUUGAAAAUCCAAAAUUGACACCAUUUUGAGCAAAUGAACUGGAAGAUUG